UUUUUUUUAAGUUAAGGUCACGCAAUAACUUUUAAAACUACUACCUAUGCACCCAACUGUAUUUCCCAAAGUGUAGAACUUUUAGAAGUCUUAGUUCACCCAGCCAUAUUUAAAGUUUGCUACUUCCAGACUUGUUUCUUUUCCACUGCCCAGUGUAAAAGCCUUUCUGUCUUUUUUACUGGGUCACUGACUGUGAUUAAGCUCCUCCAACCCACUGCACAAAGACUUUUAACAUUGAUUUAUCAGGUUUGGUCACUUUCACAUCUCACACAUCACAUCUGCAACAGAGAAUUGAGUUACCUUUGUCCCCCAAUUGGCUCUAAGAUGGUAUUGUAGUGUGCUUGUAGACUAAACAUGGGGUUUUUCAGUCAUUAGCUGUGGUCCAGACCACUCUGGCGAGGACCCGUGGGGAGUUCAUUGCCUCAUUUGGGAUGUAAUUAAUCUCUAUUAAAACCACAUCCAUCUCACUCCUUACCUGACCCACAUCUCACACACAAUUUUGUGCUUCAGAACACAAACCAUUGGGAGCAUGCCUGAAGAGACAGCAAGGAAAAGGAUGAGGAGGUGGCUCCUUUCCAGGAGGUGGGAGACAGACGAUUUUAAAGGCAGGGAAAAAAAGUGGAGAUGACAUAUCUCCUGCAGUAGUGCCGUGCUCUGAUCAGUAUCACUAGCGAUGGUGUGGGGGCUUCACUGGUGACACUUGAUUGUACUGUGUAACUGUGCCGCAUAUGCCCAUAACAUGAGGCCCCCAUCACAUGGGAAGACAUCGGAAGUCAUGUGUUGCGUGCGUUGCCAUGUAGGAAGUGAUGCUGUGGAAGUUGAGGUGAUGGUUGUCUUAUUGUGCUAUUUGCCAUUAUGUUAAUGAUAACCACAUUUUCCCCUACCCUUUCUUUUCCUGUUUUCUCCAAUAACCUGAAGUCGAUGUAAUGCCAUGUUUUCAUGAAAUCUGUUUUCUUUUUCUAUGCCACUGCCCUGUUUGUUCUAAUUAGAUGCACCUGAUGCUGCUUUGACUGUGACGACCACUGAGCCUGCACACUGAGGAGGAAGCCAU
Molecule: long non-coding RNA, 1051 nt
Organism: Lates calcarifer (barramundi perch)
Lineage: Eukaryota; Metazoa; Chordata; Actinopteri; Centropomidae
Exons: 3
Source: RefSeq, a predicted model, not a curated record